Molecule: long non-coding RNA, 400 nt
Organism: Lontra canadensis (Northern American river otter)
Lineage: Eukaryota; Metazoa; Chordata; Mammalia; Carnivora; Mustelidae
Exons: 4
Source: RefSeq, a predicted model, not a curated record
AUGAAAUGCGGUAGAAUUUGCGACAUUUGUCUUGGAACCGUGCUCUGAAACAUUCAGAGAAUUAUGGAAAGCUGGGAAUUUCCCCUCUCCGAACAGUGUUGAUUCCUCAGUGACCAUAAAUGACUUUGAAAGGAAGAGUAAUCCUCACCAACUAGGACAGGGAAAUCUCCAAUGGACACUUUGCACAGUGAAGAUUAGGAAUGGCUGGCACGGUUGGCUGCAGUGAAAUAAGACAGAGCUGCACAAGCUGCACAGGAAACAAAAGUCUGUAUUUCUGGAGACACCGUGGAAACUGGUCAGAGAGCUUUAACUCAUGUCUCGAUCAUGGACAAAAAUAGAGCACAGAAAGUGCUUCUUAGGGAAGACUUCAUUUUCCCGAUCUUUCACAACUGAAAAAUGG